RNAcentral lists this ribosomal RNA (498 nucleotides) under uncultured bacterium. RNAcentral's name for it is "partial 16S ribosomal RNA". It matches the Rfam family "Bacterial small subunit ribosomal RNA", at positions 30 to 523 of the family's 1533-position model. The record is from RNAcentral.
AUUGAACGCUGGCGGCAUGCCUUACACAUGCAAGUCGAACGGUAACAGGUCUUCGGACGCUGACGAGUGGCGAACGGAUGAGUAAUACAUCGGAACGUGCCCAGUCGUGGGGGAUAACUACUCGAAAGAGUGGCUAAUACCGCAUACGAUCUGAGGAUGAAAGCGGGGGACCUUCGGGCCUCGCGCGAUUGGAGCGGCCGAUGGCAGAUUAGGUAGUUGGUGGGAUAAAAGCUUACCAAGCCGACGAUCUGUAGCUGGUCUGAGAGGACGACCAGCCACACUGGGACUAAGCAACGGCCCAGACUCCAACGGGAGGCAGAAGUGGGGAAUUUUGGACAAUGGGCGAAAGCCUGAUCCAGCAAUGCCGCGUGCAGGAUGAAGGCCUUCGGGUUGUAAACUGCUUUUGUACGGAACGAAAAGGACUGCCCUAAUACGGUGGUCCCAUGACGUUACCGUAAGAAUAAGCACCGGCUAACUACGUGCCAGCAGCCGCCGUAA